UCUCCAGUAGCUCAGAAGAUAGAGCACGUAGAAGCCGGCGAUAACAUGCCUACGAUGUCAUGGGUUCGAGUCCCAUCUGGAGAGCCA
This 87-nucleotide transfer RNA is filed under the name Paenibacillus sp. UNC496MF. RNAcentral's name for it is "tRNA_Undet_???". It matches the Rfam family "tRNA". From Rfam's summary of the family: Transfer RNA (tRNA) molecules are approximately 80 nucleotides in length. Their secondary structure includes four short double-helical elements and three loops (D, anti-codon, and T loops). The record is from RNAcentral. Lineage: Bacteria; Bacillati; Bacillota; Bacilli; Caryophanales; Paenibacillaceae.